Molecule: non-coding RNA, 88 nt
Organism: Podarcis lilfordi (Lilford's wall lizard)
Lineage: Eukaryota; Metazoa; Chordata; Lepidosauria; Squamata; Lacertidae
Source: the annotation of a GenBank genome assembly
UCCUGGAUAGCUCACUUGGUUAGAACAUGGUGGUGAUAAUGCCAAGGUUGCAGGUUCAAUCCAGUUACAUAUUCCUGCACUGCAGGGG